GGAGGCGUGGUGUAGCGGUCUAACAUAAUGGCCUGUCAAGCCGUAGAUCGCGGGUUCGAAUCCCGUCGCUUCCGCCA
RNAcentral lists this transfer RNA (77 nucleotides) under Chloroflexota bacterium. Its description in RNAcentral is "Chloroflexi bacterium (anaerobic digester metagenome) tRNA-Asp". It matches the Rfam family "tRNA". Rfam says of the family: Transfer RNA (tRNA) molecules are approximately 80 nucleotides in length. Their secondary structure includes four short double-helical elements and three loops (D, anti-codon, and T loops). The record is from RNAcentral. Lineage: Bacteria; Bacillati; Chloroflexota.